GUAAGUUAAUACCUUGCUGUUUUGACGUUACCAACAGAAUAAGCACCGGCUAACUUCGUGCCAGCAGCCGCGGUAAUACGAAGGGUGCAAGCGUUAAUCGGAAUUACUGGGCGUAAAGCGCGCGUAGGUGGUUCAGCAAGUUGGAUGUGAAAUCCCCGGGCUCAACCUGGGAACUGCAUCCAAAACUACUGAGCUAGAGUACGGUAGAGGGUGGUGGAAUUUCCUGUGUAGCGGUGAAAUGCGUAGAUAUAGGAAGGAACACCAGUGGCGAAGGCGACCACCUGGACUGAUACUGACACUGAGGAGCGAAAGCGUGGGGAGCAAACAGGAUUAGAUACCCUGGUAGUCCACGCCGUAAACGAUGUCGACUAGCCGUUGGGAUCCUUGAGAUCUUAGUGGCGCAGCUAACGCGAUAAGUCGAC
RNAcentral lists this ribosomal RNA (422 nucleotides) under uncultured Pseudomonadaceae bacterium. RNAcentral's name for it is "SSU rRNA". It matches the Rfam family "Bacterial small subunit ribosomal RNA", at positions 443 to 869 of the family's 1533-position model. Lineage: Bacteria; Pseudomonadati; Pseudomonadota; Gammaproteobacteria; Pseudomonadales; Pseudomonadaceae. The record is from RNAcentral.